CUUGAGAGAGGGAGCCCUGAGAUGGACUCUGAGACAUGAGUCCAGGCCCUGCGGGGCGCAGCAGUCGCGAAAACUUCACAAUGGGGGAAACCCCGAUGAGGGAAUUCCAAGUGUCAGCACAUUGUGUUGACUGUUCCCGUGUCUAAAAAACACGAGAAGUAAGGGCCGGGUAAGACGGGUGCCAGCCGCCGCGGUAAUACCCGCGGCCCGAGUGGUGGUCGAUAUUAUUGAGCCUAAAACGUUCGUAGCCGGUCUUGUAAAUCCUUGGGUAAAUCGGCCAGCUUAACUGUCUGAAGUCCGGGGAGACUGCAAGACUUGGGAUCGGGAGAGGUCAGAGGUACUUCUGGGGUAGGGGUAAAAUCCUGUAAUCCUAGAAGGACCACCGGUGGCGAAGGCGUCUGACUAGAACGAAUUCGACGGUGAGGAACGAAGCCCUGGGGCGCAAACGGGAUUAGAUACCCCGGUAGUCCAGGGUGUAAACGCUGCGGGCUUGGUGUUGGGGGUCCUUAGUGGGCGCCCAGUGCCGGAGAGAAGUUGUUAAGCCUGCUGCUUGGGGAGUACGUCCGCAAGGAUGAAACUUAAAGGAAUUGGCGGGGGAGCACCGCAACGGGAGGAGCGUGCGGUUCAAUUGGAUUCAACGCCGGACAACUCACCAGGAGCGACUGUUACAUGAAGGCCAGGCUGAUGACCUUGCCAGAUUUUCAGAGAGGUGGUGCAUGGCCAUCGUCAGUUCGUACCGUAAGGCGUUCUCUCAAGUGAGAUAACGAACGAGACCCUCGCCGCUAAUUGCUAAGGCUAUCUCAGGAUAGUCUGCACACUAACGGGACCGCUGUCGCUAAGACAGAGGAAAGGGGAGGUCAACGGUAGGUCCGUAUGCCCCGAAUCUCCUGGGCUACACGCGCGCUACAAAGAACGGGACAUGGGCUCCGACAUCGAAAGG
Molecule: ribosomal RNA, 940 nt
Filed under: uncultured archaeon
Lineage: Archaea
Description: bacterial SSU rRNA
Rfam family: Archaeal small subunit ribosomal RNA
Source: RNAcentral